AUGACACACAAGUCCCCGUCCGGACUGGAGCUGGGAAGCUGUCUCAAGGUGAUAUGGAGAAGACGAUCCGAUUCAGCAAACCUGGCAUUUGCUCCCCGCCUCCCACAAGGGCCACCUUCACAGACCAGGAUGUCUUCCCCUCGCGGGAUCCGGGUUACAGCAGGGACAGCACUGCUGUUCCCGAGUAACAGAGAGGAGAGGGGACCCGUGACAGAGCAACCCGUGCAAACCACCGCCACGUCCUGGAGCCGAGUCUGUGACAGCCGCGGUGGCGGGCAUCAGCCCUUCCCUGCCCUUCGCCUGGCUGGGGUGCUCCCUCCCGAAGACACACAGGCUCCUCACCUCAUUUCCCUUUUCCAGACCCCUGAGCAGGCGACAGCCAGGGAAACGAAUGCCACCGCCAAAGGCACUGAACGGGAGGGAGGUGCAGAGGGAGCGGAGCGUGGAGUCCUGGGGUCCCGAGCGGGGUUGUCCUCUUCCUCCAACAGGGGAAGAGAAGAGCGGAGCGGCUCAAACAGCAGCCGAAAGCGGCCAGGGCGAGGCCGUCACUGCGACAGCGCACAGCUACGCUCUCUUAAACGCUCGUUUUGUGCCAGUACUAGAAUGAGAAACUGCGUUGCAUUUUUUAAAUUUGAAAAAUACAGAAAAACAUCAAAAAAAGUAAAACUGUCCCUUAAGUCCGCCACCAAGCGAUCACAUAAAUCCGCCAGCAGAGUCUCUCUCUGCGCCUGGGGUGCGGGGUGGAGUGGUUCGGAGGGACCCGGGAGCGGUGUGAGUUCGCCCUCCCACCCCACCUGUCCGGGACGCGUCCUGGCUAUCCAGGAACCACCAGGUCUGCAACUCCCCUCUGGGUUAUUGGUUACGGAUAUUUAACUUCGUAUGACAGUCGCAUAACUUUUCUCGCAUUCGCUCCUUGGUGAUCUCCUUGGGGUUGUCAUCAUCUUACUCUCAAGGGCUGAUAACCCGUCUUUAGGGUGUGCAAGCCUUCCUGGGGCGUGUGCUUUUAGGACAGUCUGUGUCAGAAUUCACCCACAUUUUUAUCUUUGUAAAUAUUGCAAAACUGACGGCCCCCAAAGGGUAGUGCCCGCUAUUUCUCCAACUCCAUGUCUCUUUGCCCAUGCUGUUAUUAGAUAUUAUCAAUUUUUUUGGCUGGAUCCAAUUUAUGAAUAAAAAGUGGUAUUUUGUUAUUUUA
RNAcentral lists this long non-coding RNA (1192 nucleotides) under Chinchilla lanigera (long-tailed chinchilla). RNAcentral's name for it is "lncRNA (ENSCLAG00000023049.1)". The record is from RNAcentral. Lineage: Eukaryota; Metazoa; Chordata; Mammalia; Rodentia; Chinchillidae.